Molecule: ribosomal RNA, 377 nt
Filed under: uncultured bacterium
Lineage: Bacteria
Description: bacterial SSU rRNA
Rfam family: Bacterial small subunit ribosomal RNA
Source: RNAcentral
UAAUACGUAGGGGGCAAGCGUUGUCCGGAAUCAUUGGGCGUAAAGAGCGUGUAGGCGGUCCGAUUAGUCGGCUGUGAAAGUCCAGGGCUCAACCCUGGGAUGCCGGUCGAUACUGUCGGACUAGAGUCCGGAAGAGGCAAGUGGAAUUCCCGGUGUAGCGGUGAAAUGCGCAGAUAUCGGGAGGAACACCAAUGGCGAAGGCAGCUUGCUGGGACGGUACUGACGCUGAGACGCGAAAGCGUGGGGAGCAAACAGGAUUAGAUACCCCGGUAGUCCUAGCCGUAAACGAUGGACACUAGGUGUUGGUGGUAUCAACCCCGCCAGUGCCGAAGCUAACGCAUUAAGUGUCCCGCCUGGGGAGUACGGCCGCAAGGCUA